Molecule: long non-coding RNA, 2079 nt
Filed under: Salvator merianae (Argentine black and white tegu)
Lineage: Eukaryota; Metazoa; Chordata; Lepidosauria; Squamata; Teiidae
Description: lncRNA (ENSSMRG00000012813.1)
Source: RNAcentral
CCGCCCCUUAUCCGCGCUCACCCCGACGGCUUGCCCGCUCCAACUCAGCUCAUUGGCUAGAAGGGAGAGCAGGGUGGUCCAAUGGCGAGCGAGCGCACGUUCGCAACGUUCUCUCCUGCCCGGUUACAACAGCGUGAGACACACCCCUUUUUGUUUCGAGCUGCUGGGGGAGGAGGCGGGAGCUAAAGCGGUGUGAAGAAGAAGAAGCUGAGAACGUAAUGGGGGAAGGGGAGGAGAGCGCCUGCCCUGCAGAACAAUGGACUGAUGAAAGUUGGGGGGCUUAAUGCGAAUUGGGGCUCAAGAGCAGCGUUCCAGGCAAAGUCGGCGCCUUCUUAGCGUUUGCUCCUUUGAGUUCCGUAGCCCUUGCUCUCUAAUUAUGGCCGAAACAAAGAAGGUGCGAAAGUGCCCGUCGCUGCCGCAGUGUUCUAGAACUUCUAGGCACCCGUUUAAUUGGGUCAGAGCCGGCUUUUGCAGAAUAUUUGUGCGUAUAUACUCCUCGUCCAUCAUGUGACCUCAAUUUGUCACAGGACAAUUGGUCCAUGGCAGCUGACCUCAAUUCCAUCCACUGAAGUCAUUUAUGUUGACUACACACAAGCUGGCAACCAUUCAGAUGGAGGUGGUUCAAGUUUAUCGUUGGUGACAGCAUAGGUGACCCUGAGAAGCAAAUGCAAAAUGUAAAUGGUUCAAGAAAGGUGUGGAAGACAGACUGGAGAAAGACAGAACUGUCUGAGAUUUUGAGGGAAUGGUAAUCUUUGCCGUAUCUUGCACCUGAACUUCCUAGAAAACUGAAUCAAGUUGCUAAAUGCAGAUAGAAGGAUUACAUUUACUGGGGGGAGGGUGGGCACCUCAGGAUUUUGGCUGCAUCCACACGGGUGAAAGAAAGUGCCCAUGGAGGCCCAAGGGGUACAGUAUCUGCACAACAGUGGUGCCCUGAAGCACACGGAGCACUCCUUAGGACACCAGAGGACCAUCAAACAGCCUUAGAGGUGUCCUUCCCACGGAGCUGGGAAAAGAACUCUGAGGACACUGGCUGCCCUCAGCUGCUUGUCUUGCUGCUGUGCAGAUAUUCGGUGACCCCAUGAACAACUUACCUGGCCUGCACUGCACCCGGAAGCAUUUUUUUGUUAUGCCAGAAAUGGUUGACUUCUGGGGCCAUUUCCAAUACAAUGAAAAAUAGGCCCAUGCUGCAUCUUGGAGCUUUCAUUACUCAAUUUCAGAGGGAGGCUGGGGAACACGGUAUACAGGCGCUGUGCUCCUCGCACCACUGCUCACCUUCCCCUUCAGCCAGCAGCCCACCUUGGCCAGGAGGUGGGAGCUGGGGAAGCAGAAGUGAAAGAACCUCCAGCCUCGGUGACAGGUGAGACGUGAGGCUGAACAGGCCAAAUUUUGUGCAAAUUCAGAUAAACCCAAAAUUGCAAUCUUGUUCCAUGCCUGCCUGGGUUUUUACUCUGGCAGCGGCAGCAAAGGGAUAAGAUACAGGCAGGCCGGCAGGCCAACAAUCAGGGGCAGCCAGAGGUGGCAAAGACAGGGGAGAAGGAACACAGUGGGGCACAAUGGUGCCGUCCAUCUAGAACACCCCAAGUGUCCGGCAUUGGGCAAGAGGGCAAUGAAACCAUCCCUCUGCCUGCCCAGAAUAGUCUCCUUUUACCGGGAUGGAGGCCAUGGAAAACAGUGAGAUAGUCUCAGUGAAGGUUAUUUCCUUAAAAAUAUGAACUGUCAUUUUGUGAUCUCAGUUCGCUAGGUGACCUGAAACAGAUGUUUUUGUUCUAAUCUGGCUGUGGCCUUCAUCACAUCUGAGAACUUGAGGAGAGCUGGAGAAACGAUUGGUGAGGAGGCGCUCAAAGGCACUGUCAUCAGUUCUGAGGGCCAAGCCGACUGUCAUUUAUGGCCUAGAACCAUCCUGUCUGGUAGCCAAAGCCUCAAGUUUCAAGAUUUGCUCUCAUUCUACAAUUUACCAUUCUCAGUUAGCUGCUGUUGUUAUGGUGUUAUGAUUCCAAAAUCACUCAGUCAAGAACAGUAAAACAAACCAAUUAGAGAAUCUACAAUAAAGGUGAAAGAUGUAUAUGGUUUGAAGAGAGA